UAAUACGUAGGGUGCGAGCGUUAAUCGGAAUUACUGGGCGUAAAGCGUGCGCAGGCGGUUCGUUAAGUUCGUCGUGAAAGCCCCGGGCUCAACCUGGGAACUGCGAUGGAAACUGGCGGGCUUGAGUGUGGCAGAGGGGGGUGGAAUUCCGCGUGUAGCAGUGAAAUGCGUAGAGAUGCGGAGGAACACCGAUGGCGAAGGCAGCCCCCUGGGCCAACACUGACGCUCAGGCACGAAAGCGUGGGGAGCAAACAGG
This 256-nucleotide ribosomal RNA is filed under the name uncultured bacterium. Its description in RNAcentral is "partial 16S ribosomal RNA". It matches the Rfam family "Bacterial small subunit ribosomal RNA", at positions 521 to 776 of the family's 1533-position model. The record is from RNAcentral.